GUAGAGUAAAUAUUGUGCGUUAAGUGCUAUGAGAUGGGAUGUUGCUCAUAGACGAAAGUCUUACUGACUGCGGUACAAUAUUGCGUCCGCUGC
RNAcentral lists this non-coding RNA (93 nucleotides) under human gut metagenome. Its description in RNAcentral is "THF riboswitch". It matches the Rfam family "THF (Tetrahydrofolate) riboswitch aptamer". From Rfam's summary of the family: THF riboswitch presents a pseudoknot that joins P1-P2 and the loop of P3 and two THF binding. The record is from RNAcentral.